This 75-nucleotide transfer RNA is filed under the name Aedes aegypti (yellow fever mosquito). RNAcentral describes it as "partial tRNA-OTHER". The stretch from base 5 to 71 matches the Rfam family "tRNA". From Rfam's summary of the family: Transfer RNA (tRNA) molecules are approximately 80 nucleotides in length. Their secondary structure includes four short double-helical elements and three loops (D, anti-codon, and T loops). Further hydrogen bonds mediate the characteristic L-shaped molecular structure. tRNAs have two regions of fundamental functional importance: the anti-codon, which is responsible for specific mRNA codon recognition, and the 3' end, to which the tRNAs corresponding amino acid is attached (by aminoacyl-tRNA synthetases). tRNAs cope with the degeneracy of the genetic code in two manners: having more than one tRNA (with a specific anti-codon) for a particular amino acid; and 'wobble' base-pairing, i.e. permitting non-standard base-pairing at the 3rd anti-codon position. Lineage: Eukaryota; Metazoa; Arthropoda; Insecta; Diptera; Culicidae. The record is from RNAcentral.
GUGACUUAAUAGUUUAAUUGGUAAAGUGCUCGUCUGGCAUACAAGAGCUGUGGGUUCGAAUCCCAUUUGAGAACA